GAGUAGCUGGAAAUACAGAUGUUAAGCACAUUGCUAAGGAAUGGAAAGCUGCAAGAUAGAAUAUGCCCUUCAUCUGUGUGGUUGCAUAGAAACCAGUCAUUUGUCUAAAUCUUAAAGACCUCAAGUGGAAAAUAUACUUACAAAUUUAAAGGAUCUCACUCUGUCGCCCUGGCUAGAAUGCAA
Molecule: long non-coding RNA, 183 nt
Organism: Lemur catta (Ring-tailed lemur)
Lineage: Eukaryota; Metazoa; Chordata; Mammalia; Primates; Lemuridae
Exons: 3
Source: RefSeq, a predicted model, not a curated record